GCGGGAGUAGUUUAGUGGCAGAACAACUGCUUCCCAAGCAGUUAGUGUGGGUUCGAUUCCCAUCUUCCGCUCCA
RNAcentral lists this transfer RNA (74 nucleotides) under Oscillospiraceae bacterium. RNAcentral describes it as "tRNA-Gly". It matches the Rfam family "tRNA". From Rfam's summary of the family: Transfer RNA (tRNA) molecules are approximately 80 nucleotides in length. Lineage: Bacteria; Bacillati; Bacillota; Clostridia; Eubacteriales; Oscillospiraceae. The record is from RNAcentral.